GCUAUUUAUACGCGCUAUAUUAGUGAGAUACAAGGCUGAGAAAACCAAUCUAACUAAAUCGUCGUUAAUUACAUUGAAAAGAUCAGGAUCACAAAUUCAUUCUUGUAAUCUAGUACUUAACAUCAAACUUAAGUUCAUCUCAUCCAGUGCUAAUAUU
This 157-nucleotide unclassified non-coding RNA is filed under the name Moritella viscosa. RNAcentral's name for it is "putative sRNA". Lineage: Bacteria; Pseudomonadati; Pseudomonadota; Gammaproteobacteria; Alteromonadales; Moritellaceae. The record is from RNAcentral.